GUCUGUUAUUAUUAUUAAAAGCCUUUCCUUCCCUCUUCCAGUUUUCUCCAGACUGGAUAAUCCAAAUCCUUGUCUCUUGCCUUCACAAGAGAAAACCCUGAGCCCUCCCCCGGCACCUCUCCUGCGCCACCUCUGGACGUCACCUGUGUCUUCAGGCGGCAGUGAGUCCAGCUCAGGGCUCUGAUUGGCAGGGGACAGGGUUGAAUGAAAGAGGCCUGAGAAACAGCCCUGCGUCCUGGAGGACCCUCAGGUCCAUUAUUAAGGCCUUUGCCACCUGCAAGGCACCUGAGCUCCGCACUCUCCUUGCAUUAUUUCACUUCAACCUCGCUACAACUCUGGUUGUUUAGUCGCUCAGUUGUGUCUGACUCUUUUGUGACCCCAUGGACUAUAGCCUGCCAGGCUCCUCUGUCCAUGGAAUUCUCCAGGCAAGAAUACUGGAGUGGAUUGCCAUUCCCUUCUCAAGAGGAUCUUCCCAACCCAGGGAUCGAACCCACGUCUCUAAUGUCUACCGCAUUGGCAGUCAGGUUCUUUACCACUAGUGCCACCUGGGAAGCCCACUGAGCCUUAGCCUCCACCCAUAGCCUUAGAGGGAGUUCCCUAUGAUCAGCUGAUGGAAGAAGAGAAGACUCAGGUCUGGUUUACAGAUAAUUCUGUGCAAUAUGCAGGCACCACCCACAAGUGAACAGCUGCAAUACUGUAGCCCCUUUGAGGGACAUCCUGAAGGGCACUGCAAAGGGGAGUGGUCCCUGUGGGCAGAACGUCGCACAGUGCACCUGGUCGUUCACUUUGUUUGAAAGGAGAAAUGAUCAGACAUGUGACUGUAUAUCAACUCCUAGGCUGUGGCCAAUGGCUUGGCUGAAUCGUCAGGGACUUGGAUGGAACGUGAUUGGAAAAUUUGUAACACGGAAACUUGAGGAAGAUCUAUGGGAUAGAACUCUCCGAAUGGACAAAAAAUAUGAAGGUAUUUGUGUUCCAAGGAAAAGAUCACAAAGAGUGAUCUCAGUAGAGGAGGAUUUUAAUAAUCAAGUGGAUAGGAUGACCUGUUAUGUGAAUACCAGUCAGUCUGUUUUCCCAGCCACCCAUGUCAUUGCACAACGGGCCCAUGAACAAAGUAGCCAUUGUAGCCAUGACAGGUUAUGCAUGGACUCAGCUACAUGGCUUUUCACUUACCAAGGCCAACCUGGCUAAGGCAAUCACAGAGUGCCCAAUCUGGCAACAGCAGAGACCAACACUGGGCCCCCUGCAUGGUACCAUUCCUGCGUGAACAGUUGAUUACAUUUGACCACUUCCAUCAUGGAAGGGGCAGUGUUUUAUUCUUAAUAGAAUAAAUAUUUACUCUGGAUAUACAUUUGCCUUCUCUGCAUGCAAGUCUUCUGCCCAAACUACCAUUCUGUGGAUUUACAGAAGGAUUUCUUUGGAAGGAAUGAUGCUAAAGCUGAAACUCCAGUACUUUGGCCACCUCAUGCGAAGAGUUGACUCAUUGGAAAAGACUCUGAUGCUGGGAGGGAUUGGGGGCAGGAGGAGAAGGGGACGACAGAGGAUGAGAUGGCUGGAUGGCAUCGCUGACUCGAUGGAUGUGAGUCUUGAGUGAACUCCGGGAGUUGGUGAUGGACAGGGAGGCCUGGCGUGCUGUGAUUCAUGGGGUUGCAAAGAGUCGGACACGACUGAGCGACUGAUCUGAUCUGAAUCCACCAUCAUGGUAUUACACACAACAUUGCUUUUGAUCAUGGAAGCUACUUAUCAGCAAAUGAAGUGUGUCAAUGGCCCCAUGCUCGUGGGAUUCACUGGUUUUACCAUGUUGCCUGCUAUCCUGAAGCUACUGGUUUGAUCAAAUGGUGGAAAGGCCUUUUGAAGACUCUGUUACAGUACCAGCAACAGUGGCAAUCCAGGCAGGACUACUAACAGCCCAGACCCUUCAGGAAUGAGUUUGGGUCACCCCACCAGGUUGUUUUCAAUCGGGCUAUUAUGAACUGGACAUGGAACAACAGACUGGUUCCAAAUAGGAGAAGGAGUAUGUCAAGGCUGUAUAUUGUCACCCUGCUUAUUUAACUUCUAUGCAGAGUACAUCAUUAUAAACGCUGAGCUGGAGGAAGCACAGGCUGGAAUCAAGAUUGCCAGGAGAAAUAUCAAUAACCUCAGAUAUGCAGAUGACACCACCCUUAUGGCAGAAAGUGAAGAGGAACUAAAAA
Molecule: long non-coding RNA, 2189 nt
Organism: Bos taurus (domestic cattle)
Lineage: Eukaryota; Metazoa; Chordata; Mammalia; Artiodactyla; Bovidae
Source: Ensembl